This is a long non-coding RNA of Talpa occidentalis (Iberian mole), 1321 nucleotides long. RefSeq lists it as uncharacterized. The record is from RefSeq and is a predicted model, not a curated record. The transcript has 3 exons. NCBI's taxonomy places the organism in Eukaryota, Metazoa, Chordata, Mammalia, Eulipotyphla, Talpidae.
UUGUGCUCAUGCGCCGACAGAGCUCUGCCCUUCCACCCCACGCUUAGCGGCUUUCGAAGCCGAAACUACAUUUCCCGGGGGCCUUAGCGGGGUGGGGCCUAACUGUUCCCUCCGGUAACUAAUCCGGGGUGCGCUAACCUGCACCGGGGGCUAUGGUUCCGUUCGGGUUACACUCUGACUCGGUAUUGGCCUUGAAAUGAUGUCCAGGGAGAAAAAGAAAUAUGUGAAGGGAAAUGAGGAAAGUGCAUGAGAGAAAUAUUAAAAAUCUGUUUCUGAGGAUCCAGAGGGAUCAUGUGAAGAUAUGUUCUAUUCCCCGUCUUUGCCUGUGGCAACUCCAAGAGUUAGACUUUAUAAAGGUCACAGUCCAAAAAGAGUGAAUUUCCCAAUGGCCAAGUACUGGGAGUCCACAGAGAUCUUCACUGCCACCCACAGCUUUGGUCAACAAGAUAUAAGCAGGUCAUCUGAUGGGUUGCUGAGAAAACCAAUUCUGAUAGAAGGCUUAGGUGUUGCUGCUGCUACCCAUCCCCUACCUAUCUGCUGUGAAUACAAGUUAUCUUACCUGAAGCUAUGGCAGCCAUCAUGACCAUGCUGGAAAAUCCAUGAAACCAAAGGCAUUGAACUAUUUUGUCUAUGAACCAAUGCCCACUACCUCCAGAUUUGUUAUAUGAGAAAAAAUAAAUCCCUGCUUGCUUGUAAGCCAUUGUUCAGGGGACUUUAUUUGUAGUCAAAGUUCAAAUAGAGAUAUAUUAUCUCAAACCCACUUUCCCCUAGUUAUCUAAUAUCUCCUUUCUCAGUCCAGCCAUUAAGUAUUUUUUUGACACUUAACUCACUCUUCAACCCACUAAAAUUUAGGUUAUCAAUAAGACUAAAGGCCAUAUUUCUAUUUUUACUUAAUCUUUCAUAUUAGCAAUUGGAAAUAUUAACUGUUCUUAUCCCUACAUUAAAACUUCCUUUUAAUUUUUGUGCUACCACCUCUUGAUUUUUCUGGUUUUCAUUUUUCUUUUGGCAAGUCUUUCAGCACUGAUUCCAUUUCUGCUUAAUGCCAGACCUUCCUGGAUUCAUUACUUGGAUAUGCAUAGAUUCAUCAAAAUGCCCUGAACUCAUCAUUGUCCCACAAAAUUUGACAAUUUUGUUUUUAAUUAUGGCACCCCAUCUGCCCACAUAAAUUCAGGUCAUUCUAGCCUCUUUCUUCUCAUUCAAGUGUCUGCAUUUAAUCAUUUCCAACCAUUAUCUCGACUCCACUGUUGCUUGAAUUCUUCCUUUCCUCUCCCAUCCCACUGCCAUUUUCUUAGUUUAUCCCUUGGAGAACAAAAAAAAAAAA